AGAAAGGGGGCUUCGGUCCCUGAGUAAAGUGGCGAACUGGUGAGUAACAGGUGGGUAACGCACCCCGAUGUGGGGGAUAACUCCGGGAAACCGGGGAUAAUACCGCAUAAGGCCGAAUGGGUUUAGGCCCGGAAGGUUAAAGCAGUAGUGCGCUUCAGGAUCGGCCCGCCCCCGAUUAGCUUGAUGGUGAGGUAAUGGCUCACCAUGGCAACUAUCGGUAGCUGGUCUGAGAGGAUGGUCAGCCACACUGGGACUGAGAUACGGCCCAGACUUCUACGGAGGGCAGCAGUCUAGAAGCUUCGGCAAUGGAGGAAACUCUGACCGAGCGACGCCGCGUGCGGGAUUGAAGGUGUUUUCAUCGUAAACCGCUGUCAUGAGGGAAGAAUGCCCCGAUGGUGAAUCGGGGAGAGACGGUACCUCAGGAGGAAGCCCCGGCUAACUACGUGCCAGCAGCCGCGGUAAUACGUAGGGGGCUAGCGUUGUUCGGAUUUACUGGGCGUAAAGGGAGCGUAGGCGGCCGGCCAAGUCCGGUGUGAAAUCUUUACCGCUUAACGGAAAGAGGUCACCGGAAACUGGUCGGCUUGAGUCGGGUAGAGGCAAGCGGAAUUCCUGGUGUAGCGGUGGAAUGUGUAGAUAUCAGGAAGAACACCGGUGGCGAAGGCGGCUUGCUGGGCCCGCACUGACGCUGAGGCUCGAAAGCGUGGGGAGCGAACGGGAUUAGAUACCCCGGUAGUCCACGCUGUAAACGGUGCGCACUAGGUGUGGGGGGUAUCGACCCCCUCUGUGCCGCAGCUAACGCAUUAAGUGCGCCGCCUGGGGAGUACGGCCGCAAGGUUGAAACUCAAAGGAAUUGACGGGGGCCCGCACAAGCGGUGGAGGAUGUGGUUUAAUUCGACGCAACGCGAAGAACCUUACCUGGGCUUAAACCGCGGAGUAAACCCUAUGAAAAUAGGGCUGUGGCAACACGACCUAUGAGAGGUGCUGCAUGGCUGUCGUCAGCUCGUGUCGUGAGAUGUUGGGUUAAGUCCCGCAACGAGCGCAACCCCUGUCGCCAGUUGCCAUCAUUAAGUUGGGAACUCUGGCGAGACUGCCGGUGCAAAACCGGAGGAAGGUGGGGAUGACGUCAAGUCCUCAUGGCUCUUACGGCCAGGGCUACACACGUACUACAAUGGCAAAGACAAAGGGCCGCUAACUCGCGAGAGUACGCUAAUCCCAUAAAACCAGUCUCAGUUCGGAUUGGAGUCUGCAACUCGACUCCAUGAAGCUGGAAUCGCUAGUAAUCGGAGAUCAGCACGCUCCGGUGAAUACGUUCCCGGGCCUUGUACACACCGCCCGUCACACCACGAAAGUCGGUUGUUCCAGAAGUCGCUGUCGG
RNAcentral lists this ribosomal RNA (1375 nucleotides) under uncultured prokaryote. RNAcentral describes it as "partial 16S ribosomal RNA". It matches the Rfam family "Bacterial small subunit ribosomal RNA", at positions 68 to 1436 of the family's 1533-position model. The record is from RNAcentral.